GCUUACGGCCACACCGGCCUGAGUACGCCUGAUCGUCCGAUCUCGGAAGCUAAGCAGGGUCGGGCCUGGUUAGUACUUGGAUGGGAGACCGCCUGGGAAUACCAGGUGCUGUAAGCU
Molecule: ribosomal RNA, 117 nt
Filed under: Oncorhynchus mykiss (rainbow trout)
Lineage: Eukaryota; Metazoa; Chordata; Actinopteri; Salmoniformes; Salmonidae
Source: RNAcentral